Molecule: long non-coding RNA, 1035 nt
Filed under: Junco hyemalis (dark-eyed junco)
Lineage: Eukaryota; Metazoa; Chordata; Aves; Passeriformes; Passerellidae
Description: lncRNA (ENSJHYG00000002512.1)
Source: RNAcentral
AUGGCAGAAAUAGGGAAUGGCAAAGCUGGGAAUGGCAGAGCCGGGAAUGGCAGAGCUGAAAAAUGGCAGAACCUGGGAAUGGCAGAACCUGGGAAUGGCAGAAAUUGGGAAUGGCAGAACCAGAAAUGCCAGAGCUGGAGAACGACAGGAAUGGGAAUGGCAAAGCCGGGAAUGGCAGAAUUAGGAAUGGCAGAAAUGGGGAAUGGCAGAACCAGGAAUACCAGAGCCUGGGAAUGGCAGAGUUGGGAAAUGGCAAAGCCUGGGAACGGCAGAACCAGGAAUGGCAGAAUUAGGAAUGGCAGAACCGGGAAUGGCAGAACCAGGAAUACCAGAGCCUGGGAAUGGCAGGGCCGGGAAGGAGCAGCAGCUCCCGAGCAGGGCGGGCGCUGGGGAAUGCCAGAGCCCGGCCUUAUCUUUUGUCUGGAACAAUGGAGGGCUCGGCCCCAUUGUUCUCCUCUCACGCCCAGCGGAAAGCGGGGUCCCCCGGGGCACGGCUGGCUCGGGAGCGUGCCCGGAGCCGCGGCAGGGACGGGCGGGGGUGGCACGGGUGGCACGGACCCCGCGCGGCUGCUCCAGCGGGGAGCCCCGUCCCGCUGGUUUUCCAUGCGGAUUUUAGGAGCAGGGAGGUCCCCCGGAGAGCCCAGCUGCAGGCUGGGCAGGGCAGAGCAGGAUUUGCUGCUUUUAGGGGCUCUUUUAGGGAUUUGGGUUCUCUGCGAUCCCGUUCUGGCUCCUUCCUGUUGUGUUUCCUCUGGUUUGUGGGUUCGUGCUGGGAAUCUGACUAGGAAAAACACGUUUGGAUGUGGGAUUUGUGUGUUUUCCCAAAAAAAGCUCAUCCUGGGAACUGGGCAAAGCUGGCACAGCCCAGGGAACAGACACAGGAGCCUGGGACUCCUCAGACUGCAAACACAGCCCCAAAUCCAUUUGUUUCCCCAGGAUGGGUACCUGGAGGCCAGAGCUGCCAAUUCCCACUGCUCAGGGAGCCCAGGGGACAUCGGGACAGGGCAGGGGGUGACACAGGUGCCACCAGCACCAUGA